Gossypium raimondii (Peruvian cotton) is the source of this 520-nucleotide long non-coding RNA. RefSeq lists it as uncharacterized. Lineage: Eukaryota; Viridiplantae; Streptophyta; Magnoliopsida; Malvales; Malvaceae. The transcript has 2 exons. The record is from RefSeq and is a predicted model, not a curated record.
CAGAGUUUUAUUUUUUAUUCUCUUCUUCGUCCUUUAGUGUCUCCCGCCGCUUCCCUUAACCUCUAUUUAUUCAAUCCCCAAAUUGAAAUUAGGUCACUAUUCUCCCCUCUUAUCUCCACUGUAGACAAAACAAAGGAGUAGGUCUGUGCUAAAUGAGUGAAAACCAGGACAUCCCUUGCCCGAUUGGGGUUGUUUCUGACGCUGAGAGUGAUCCACCUGAAAAUGAACCUGAUGAUACCCAGAUGCAUUUGUCGAUGUCGACUGGAAGCAAGAAAAGAAGCCGGGAAAUCGAUGACUCAGUGGAGGCUAAAGGAAAAGCCCCCAAGAAAUGGACAUCGGGAAAAGAAGCUUUAAACUCCCUAUUUAUUCUAAAUAUUUUUUAUCACACUGAAAUUAUCUCAUUAAUCAGUUAAUAAUAUAUUAAAAUUUUAUUUUCUUAACAAAUUGUGUGGUGGUUUAGUAAUUAGUUUAUGCAAAUACAGUAUUGAAAUAUGAAUGCUUUGAAUUAACGUUUAUCUAU